UGGGGAAUAUUGCACAAUGGGCGGAAGCCUGAUGCAGCGACGCCGCGUGGGGGAUGAAGGCCUUCGGGUUGUAAACUCCUUUCGACAGGGACGAAGCUUUUGUGACGGUACCUGUAUAAGAAGCACCGGCUAACUACGUGCCAGCAGCCGCGGUAAUACGUAGGGUGCGAGCGUUGUCCGGAAUUACUGGGCGUAAAGAGCUCGUAGGUGGUUUGUCGCGUCGUCUGUGAAAUUCCGGGGCUUAACUCCGGGCGUGCAGGCGAUACGGGCUUACUUGAGUGCUGUAGGGGAGACUGGAAUUCCUGGUGUAGCGGUGAAAUGCGCAGAGAUCAGGAGGAACACCGGUGGCGAAGGCGGGUCUCUGGGCAGUAUCUGACGCUGAGGAGCGAAAGCAUGGGUAGCGAACAGG
RNAcentral lists this ribosomal RNA (409 nucleotides) under Actinomycetes bacterium. RNAcentral's name for it is "Actinobacteria bacterium partial 16S ribosomal RNA". It matches the Rfam family "Bacterial small subunit ribosomal RNA", at positions 355 to 776 of the family's 1533-position model. The record is from RNAcentral. Lineage: Bacteria; Bacillati; Actinomycetota; Actinomycetes.